Molecule: ribosomal RNA, 301 nt
Filed under: uncultured bacterium
Lineage: Bacteria
Description: partial 16S ribosomal RNA
Rfam family: Bacterial small subunit ribosomal RNA
Source: RNAcentral
CAGUCGCCGCGGGAAUACAGAGGGUGCGAGCGUUAAUCGGAUUUACUGGGCGUAAAGCGUGCGUAGGCGGCUUUUUAAGUCGGAUGUGAAAUCCCUGAGCUUAACUUAGGAAUUGCAUUCGAUACUGGGAAGCUAGAGUAUGGGAGAGGAUGGUAGAAUUCCAGGUGUAGCGGUGAAAUGCGUAGAGAUCUGGAGGAAUACCGAUGGCGAAGGCAGCCAUCUGGCCUAAUACUGACGCUGAGGUACGAAAGCAUGGGGAGCAAACAGGAUUAGAUACCCCUGUAGUCCCUGUCUCUUAUAC